GUACACCUGCACCGUGUGCAGCAAGGCUCUGACCACCAAGCACUCACUGCUGGAGCACAUGAGCCUGCACUCAGAAGUCUUUUACCUGUGAUCAAUGCGGAAAAUAUUUCAGCCAGAACAGACAGCUAAAGAGCCAUUACCGAGUUCAUACAGGCCACUCAUUACCGGAAUGCAAAGACUGCCAUCGCAAAUUCAUGGAUGUGUCUCAGCUAAAGAAACAUCUGCGAACACACACAGGUGAGAAGCCAUUUACUUGUGAAAUCUGUGGCAAAUCUUUCACAGCAAAGAGUUCUCUU
This 296-nucleotide long non-coding RNA is filed under the name Homo sapiens (human). RNAcentral's name for it is "HSALNT0111323". Lineage: Eukaryota; Metazoa; Chordata; Mammalia; Primates; Hominidae. The record is from RNAcentral.